AAGAGGAAGAGGAAGGAGCUAUCCAGUCCCCGGAAGAGGAAGGAGCUAUCCAGUCCCCGUAAGAGGAAGAGGAAGGAGCUAUCCAGUCCCCGUAAGAGGAAGAGGAAGGAGCUAUCCAGUCCCCGUAAGAGGAAGAGGAAGGAGCGCAGGACGUGUAGCGAGGCGCCCCCUACAGGACAGAUGUCCCAACUGCAGCCCUGAGUCUGAGGGGUGAUGGGAUCAGGUGAGGCCCUCGGGGAGAGGAGAAGACCCAGGUGUGUGUGUGUGAGGCUGUGUUGGUUCAGGAGAGGACCCAGAUGUGUGUGUGAGGCUGUGUUGGUUCAGGAGAGGACCCAGGUGUGUGUGUGAGGCGUGUCGGGGGCGGUGCAUUAGCUGGGGCGGAUCUCCAAACUGAGACAGAAUGAGAAGCAGGUGUGAAAGUGGAGACGCCCUCUGACCUCGACGUGUGAACUUUGACCUCCAUCUUGCUAAUCCUCACUAGAGCAGGACCAGUCGAGGCCACAAUACAGUACUUCUAUCUCCCUCUUCCC
This is a long non-coding RNA of Clupea harengus (Atlantic herring), 530 nucleotides long. The record is from Ensembl. NCBI's taxonomy places the organism in Eukaryota, Metazoa, Chordata, Actinopteri, Clupeiformes, Clupeidae.